Molecule: long non-coding RNA, 9229 nt
Organism: Gallus gallus (chicken)
Lineage: Eukaryota; Metazoa; Chordata; Aves; Galliformes; Phasianidae
Exons: 4
Source: RefSeq, a predicted model, not a curated record
AGCCGCCCGAAGGAGAGGGGCGCCGUGCGCGGGCAGCCCUCCUGCAUCCAGAAAGCGCCGCUGCCGCGCCCACCCCCCGCGGGAGAGAAGCCGACAGGUACGCCGACAGCUGGCCAUAUCAUCCAAGUCAUACUCAUGACCGUAUCAUAUCAUAAGCUGAUCAAAUGCUGUCUCAAAACUAAUAAAGUGAAGAGGAUCCUAAUGGGACCCAGAGGAAGGAUUUUACAAAGCUUUCUCUGCACUCAUCCAUAAGUUUGCCCGUUCAAAAAUGGGUCAGGAGUGAAACCCUCGGGUCUGAGAGGGUAUCGCGCAGUCAUUGAAGAACUCAACAUUGCUUCAUAGAACUGAGGCCCAUGCAUGUACAAAACCUGAAGUAUAAAUCAGUGUGUAUUAGCAGAGUUACUUGGAGAAAGUUGUGGAAGUUGGAAGAGGAAGGCUCAAGGGCUGCGUAGGAUGAAAUGCCAACCUCUAGAACGUUAUGGAUGUAUUCAUCCUUCAGAGAUGAGGUUAUCCUCAUCCCCAUCAUGGUCUGCAGGUACAACAUAGAAUUCUUCAGCAUGCCCUGCACAUUUUGGUCACUGUCAGAGGAAGAGAAGACAAACAUCUUCCCAUACUUGCACUGUGCAAUAUGAAGCUGUUCUCCUUCCCUGUGGGUCCUCCCCAGUUGGUCGCUCUUGUGGGAUCUUCUUUCAUAAGUGAUGGGAGGAGAGCAGGGACUGUGACAGAAGGCACAGCUUAUCUUAGAACUGUUGUGGGAUUUAGCACUCAGAUACACAGUAGAGACACCACUGUUGUCUCAAUUACAUGCUUACUAUUUUCAUAUUUCAUGAAUGGAAAUGCAAUUUAAGGCUGCAAGGUGCACAAAGACAUGCAGAAAAGAGGUGCAUUUCAAAACCAGGCUACAAGAUGAGUUCUUAACUCAACCCCGCUAAAUAUAUAGGUAGAGUGCAAAGCGUCUCCCAGCGGCUACAGAACAUAAAGAUGUUGCAGAUUCCACUCAGCUCUCAAACCCUGAUGCUGCACUUCAUGGACAAUUCUAAGGCAGAGCAUUGCUGUUACUGGAAAAGACAAUGGGAGCACUGUGCCUGAAAUUUCCAUGCAACUUUCUGAAAACACACAGCUGUUUGUUUCUCAUUUUAAACUUCAUAACCGAUGCAAAUAUUUCCAUGUGUACUUUUGGCAAAGUGCCAGUGCUUCGGAAGCUUGGUUUUGAUACUCCUGAAAAAUAGGGAUUAAAAAAAAAAAAAGGAAGGAAAAAAGCAAAUGAAGAGGAAAAAGCAACAGCACCACCCUGCUGCCACCUCUUUGCCAACCGGAUAACAACCAAAGAUUGCUCAAGGAGAUGCACUUACAUAACCGCCAGCCAACAAAUAGGUUUGUUCCAAAAGCCAGCAGAAAUGGAAAAAAAAAUAGGGUAAAGCACGUUCUUCUUUUGCCCUCAGCUCAAGGAUGGCUCUUUUCAGUUUUGUUAAAAAGAAUUAGAGAACAAUAAGAAUGCUUUAACAUUCCUGGUAGUGAGGUACGGAGCAGGGGUCUGUAGAGCCAGUGGAAAAAUCGCUUCCAUGAGUGAUGGUUUGUCUCAUGGCAGCCAUCCAACUGAGGUCAGGAGGGACUUGGAGAGAUUGUUCAGCCCAGUGAUGACAAAACCUUGGCACAGGCACCGGGUCUGUAGCUGACAUAGAUUUGGGCUGGCACCGGGACCUCUGAGUCACAACGGCAAUAAAUUUGGCACUAAGCACCAAAAAUACAUCCUUGGUCCCCGGGCCAGUCUGGCCCAGGUCUGAAUGCAUGCAAACAUCUGGUGACAAAUACUUGCCGUCACGUUCUGCACAGUCCUGGUGAGGAUUCCGUAACAGUCCCAGAUGAGCUGUUACCAGGGCUUCACUCCUGUCCAUGCUCUGCCAAAAUCAUUUUGCUGCAGUUGAAGUUCUUUUCUUCUUUCCUUCUCCCAGCAUCCAUCGAGAACAGCUGGCUGUUGUCCUCCUGGUGAUAACAUAUUCCAUAUGGGAAACUAUCACCUUAAUUCCCCUGGAGCUUUUCUCAUCUAGGUUACAAAACCUUGUUCUUUCACCCUUUCAAUACCGAUCACUGAUGCACGUGCUUUACUCUCUGUAAGAAGUUGGUGUAAAUGUCUCGUAGGAGACUUUAUGAAAGGAGAAGGUGGUGUUGGUUUUCAAAAUCUGUGAGUACAUUGGCUUUACCCCUCACAACCACUUUCUCCGUGAUUUCAUUCCCUUACACUCCCACUCCCACAUGCUCACAGGAGCCAAGAUGUGUUCAGGCAGUCUGUUUGCAGUCACCUAUGUGUAACAGAGGACAAAGUGGUUGUGGAGUCCCCUCCUUGGAGGUCUUCAGCAGCUGACAGGGUGUGGGCCUGGGCACGCUGCUCUGGGUGUCCCUGCUGAGCAGUUUGGGCCUGGUGGACCCAGAAGUCCCAUCUUAACCAUGCUGGAAAUGGAUGCCAGUUAUCACAUCACAUCCCUUGGGCAAUGGCAAACUGGUUUUCAGACAGGUCUCAUACUCUUGAAAUGCCAAAGGUUAGUGUGGCACAAUUAUUUUGCAUCCGAAGUUUGCUGACUUUCAUCUCCACAGAUUCUGCCUAAUGGCCACAGGCCGUAUUCUGGUUGGGCUGAAAGGAACAGGAAUGGCAUACAUCAUGUGCUGGAACCUUGUUUCUAUCUUCCUGUUGUCAGAGUGCCGGGUCUCCUGCUGAGAGGUGCCCUAUGCUUUGAUUUUACAGGAGCGCAGGCCUUCUGGGCUUAACAUGGACAACAUUCCUCUAUUUCUUUCUAUUUCCUCUAUUUCCUCUGCUGUGGACUAUGCCCUUCUUUAUAAACAUAGCCCUUUUUCACAUUGUUCUUCCAUUCCUUUUUGUGCUCAUGCAGCUAUACCCUCUCACAUUUCUAACAUCUUAAUACUCCUUAAGUUUUAGACUAAUUUCUGCAGUGCAGUUGUCAGGUUAUUUCCCUGCUUGUCCUUUGGCAUUUGAUUUGUUCCUGAGUCGACACUUGCUGCCCUUACUUUUGUACUAUUAUUUCCUUCUUUGAUCAACUCUUUCUCAUCUGUCAGGAUAACAUGGAAUUCAGAUGUUGCCUCUCACGGUGCUUGCAAAAUGCUGAGAGACAAAAUGCAUGCUGCUUGAACCACAGUCAUAGCAGAAUAAAGUCCAGGAGCAACAAUAGGCAUACAGGCAGCAAAUUUGAAGGACUGGAAAGUUAAGUGUACUUAAGAAAAAACUUGGAAAGAGUUUUCUGGGAAAGCUAUCAAUGAUUGGAAGAUAUUUAUUAAACCCACUGCCUCCAAUCAUAUCAGUGCAGGCAAAGUAUAGGAAGAAAAGCAGCAGACAAAUAUUACUGCAUGAAGUGUUCUUUAAAGAGAUGAAGGUCCCGGUGGUCCAUCACUGUGGGAUUCAUUGCAGAAUGGAGAAUAUAGCGGUCUUCUUAUUUUGUAUUCUUAGGUAGAAUGGAAGAAGUAAUUAUCCUAGAGACCAAACAAAUGUUUAUUUUGUAUUUCAUAAAGCAUUACACUUUUCAAUAGCUGCUGGAUAUGGUACUUCUGUGCCUGGCAGUGGGUGCAUUUUAAAGCAUGGCUGAAAGUUUGCAACUCACUAACAGAAAAGAAAGUGUUUGAAAUGUGUUAUUAGACAGCCUGCAAAGCCUCUGAUCUAUGGUAGAAAUAAAAUCAGAGAGAAACAGAACAAAACAAAAUAAAAUAAAACAUUCCUUCACUGCAAGAAAUUCCCACAGGUACAGGAAGUUUUUCAGGAAUGUUCCACAUUAAAAGCCAGUAAAAGAAAAUGUGGGAGCAUGUAGCUUCAGUUCCCAACCCGUGUGUGUUUCCCAGCACUGUUCAGUGCUUACAGUCUUUUCCAGUCAAAAGAAAGAAAGAAGUACUGUGAAGAGUUCUGAGUUCAUUUUGUUUCAUCAGCUCCUUCUGUUUAUUUCAGUGUGAUUCAAAGAUAGGCAGAACAGUGAGGCAUUAGGGGAAAUUAAACUUAUCCAGACCCUGUACAGCUGUAGUAUUUUUCUUUAAUUUGGUCAUGUUUCCUAUUGUACGUAAUCCUACCAGUCUUAUUUCACUCUCUUGCUUGCAGCCUUCGGUCUGAGAUGACAACUUCAGUCUCUCUUGCCCUCUAUUGAAGUAAAUUGGUAAUAACAAUUGCCAAUAAAAUGUGAGCUGUAAUGCAUAAAAGAGGAUAUAAAUAAUUGAUCUCAGCCCACUGAUGUGUGUAAUUACUUUAUAUGGAAGGCUCGUAAAUGUUGCCAAAUCUUCUGCUGGCUCCUACCUAUGUGUUCAUGCUACCUUCUUUCACAGGCUGUGCAUAGAAUGGUAAUUAUAUGGAAAACAGCCUUAUGUUUUUGACAUGUUUAAUAGAAAGCUUUUAAUUCUUAGGAAACAUCUACCCGUGACCAAUGUGUAUCUUGGAAUGAUAGACUGAGAGUUCAAAUACUCUUAUUUUUACAAAGAAAUGUCUGAACUCCAACAGUUUAGGAUAUUUAAACUUCAUGGAGUUCAUGAGGUUGUUUAACCAAGUGAAUUAUGAGCAAUUAAAUACAUCCAUUUCAUUUGCAGUUUACUGUACUCGUUUUAUGAUAUUUUAAUUGCACUUACAAAACACUUACAAAACAGCUUAGUCCCAUGUGUGUGUAGGUAUCCCAAAGUUACAAGAAGUGGCUCCAGUAAAUCUCACCCGUCCCUCAAAGAGGAACACAUUCUCCAUUAUCCUGGCUUACCCUGCAGGCCUUCACUACACCACAAACUUCAAUACAGGUAGGUGAAAUGGAGGGCAAACUCACCUGCUGUGGCUCAAUGGUUCACAUUUAGCAUGUUAUGAAGACAACAACGCCUUACAAAGCCUGUGCAGGUCCUUCUGCAAGGUGCUGCCCCUCAUAUGGCAUGCUGCCUAAGACAAACUGAGGUCUCUGGGCAUCAUACCCAACUGAUGGAGAAGGUGUGCCCUGCGCCUGUGAGGCUGCAAACAAAUUUUGGCCUUUUUGUUCAGAUUUUGUUGGUGUUAAGGUCAGAAGGGGUCACCAUGCCACAGUCAGACUAACGCAGGCUACAUCUCCUCCCCAUCGCCACAUCUCCCCUCACUGCGGUGGCUGGUGCAAUGCAUGCUGCAGAUAUUCCUGCUGUACUUCCAGAGGGAUAAGGAGAGCUCUUCCGUGUGCUUUCAGACAGGCUGUGCUUGUGGUAAGCAGAGUGCUUUCAGUGACUGCACUUGUACAUCUCCCCCACUACUCGCAAGCGCAGAUAUUCCAUUAAAAAUUGAAGAGAGGGGAAGGAAGAAGAAUGCUGAAAUCAGCCCUUCAAUUAGAUAGGGGAAGAGUUAAUUUCAAAAUAGUUCACAGUACUUUUAAGGGUAAUUAGGUUCUAUGCUGUGGCCGUGAAACAAUCUUAAAAUAACUUGUCAACAGUGGUAUCCUGUUGAGAUAGAAUAGGACCUUCUGGUUUUAAUGAAAAAACCUGGCAAUCAAGCUUCCUAUGUCUUUACUUGUAGCUGAAAGCAUGAAUAUAAACACACAAGUGAAUGCUUAGUAACGGUUCGAUUCAUGUUUGUGUUUCUGAUACUCAGCAGUUCCUCCCAACAGGUGCUGCAGGUGGGCUUUUGUAGAGAGAGGCUCCAAGCUCCUUUGGCUCUUUCUUUUCCAGCAGAAGGGAAAUACCUUUCUACUAUUUCUGGGGGGUUCUGCUGCAGCUGCUCUUAAUUUGCAGUGGUUCUUAAUCUAACCUGCAGCAACAUUCACAUCACUGGGUUGUUCUGCUGUUAGGUGCUCCCUGCCUGUGAUCAUGUAACUGUGUACAUCAGUAGACUCCACAGUUCAUGAUAUGAGAGUAUUCUGUGACCGUCAGGCUUUAAUGCUUGUCCAAGAGCUGCAGGAGCAUGUGUCUGUAAGUGCAUAUGAACUCUCCUUCCUCUGUUCUGCAGAAGAAGUGGUCUUGUCACCAGUCCUUCCUCCUCCGCUAUGCUAUGGCAUGUUGUACCUCAGUGCUCUUCACCUUUAUUUCAGAAGUGAUUUUGACAGGCAGGUAAGGAGAGACCUGAUAUUCCUCAAAGAGUUGGAAGGAGGGAUACUUCUGUAAUGCUGGCUUUGAGCCCCAGGAGGGAUAUGCUCUGCAAAGUCUCUGUAUUGCACUUGAAAGAGAAGUUGAUCCUUUUUCAUGUAUCUUCCAUGUCAUAGAAAAUGUAAGAUAGAUAAACAUUCUUUCUUACUACUAUGAAGCAUUUAAAAUAUAUAUAUAUACACUCAUGUAUAUACACUCUGUAUAUGCACAUACACGGAGUGAGGUUUUCUUAACAUCAAGGUAUCAGUCAGCUUUAAGGAGCUGUUUUCUUCUUUCCUUAUGUCAUUUUUGUCUUUUAUUUUCCAUCAAAAAGUAGCUUCUGUGAGCCUUAAGAUGUUAGUUAGGUAGGAUUGAUACCACAGAAUCACAGAAUGGCUGAUGCUGGCCGGGACCUCAAGGUCUGUGAACACAACCGCUGCUCAGCAGGGACACCCAGAGCAGGGUGCCCAGGCCCACGUCCAGGCAGCUGCUGAAGAUCUCUGGGGGAGACUCCAAAAUGUCUCUGGGCAGCCUGUGCCGGUGCUCUGUUACCUGCACAGCACAGUCCCUGGUGUUCAGAGGGAACCUCCUGCGUUCCUGUUUGUGCCCAGUGCCUCCUGUCCUGGUAUCAAGCACUACUGACAAGAGCCUGGUUCCAUCUCUGCACGCUCCCUUCAGGUGUUUAUGAACACUGAUGAGAUCCCCUGAGCCUCCUUUUCUCCAGGCUGAGCAACCAGCUCUCUCAGCCUCUCCUCACACGAGAGAGAGGUGCUCCUGUCCUUUGUCAUCUUGGCCCUGAGUUGGACUCUCCCCGCUACAUCCAAGUCUCUCAGGCUGAAAGGGCCUAGAAUUGGACCCAGCUCUCCAGUGGCAGCCUCACAGCAGAGGGGAAGGGUGAUUUCCCUUGACGUCCUGCUGAUGCUUUGCUCGUGCAGCGCCGGUCAUCGUCAUCCUCCUGUGCAGCAGGGGCACCUGACUGGCUCUCUUUCAUAUCAUUUAUCAGACACAAGUAGGAAAGGAAACGUACCAGGCUUAUAAUUUCUCAAGGAAGAUUGGACCACAGGCUUACUUAACCUUCCUUUUUCCUUGUGUUUGACACCUACUAUGAUUUUAAAGCAAGGAUUUUGGUAUGUUUGUUUCUGCAUCUUGUCACUUCAGGUUCUUCAGCACAGGCAGGAACUCAACGCUUUUGGCUCCUGGGAUCUGAUUUUGUAACAGUUUCCUCCUUUGGCCACUUUCCAGAAAAUCACCUAGGAAACCCAAGUACCAGUUUCCAUGGUCACUUAGGAGAGAACAUGUUUCCUACUAUUGCAUAGUGUAUCGGUACCAGGAAACACACAAGCUUUUUGCCUGACCCAGGUGCAUAAAAAUUCAUGAGCAAGAAAGCAUUCACCUGUUGUUUGAUGUGAAAAGCACACUGGACCACAAAAGCAGUGAUAGCAGGUUAAACUGUUCCUGACUGCCACUGGGGGAUCAAAGGAUAAUCAUCUGGAUGGGGAGCCAGGUGAAUUCCUCUGAGAGGCAAAGAAAUGUUCCAGUGUGGUGUGCGAAGACCUGAAGUUCCUUCUCUUUAUUAUUGUAUGCACUGCAACUGAAGCAUCUUCUUAUCAGAUAUUGUAUUCAGUCUAGGAGGAAUAUAGCACAUCCUUCAAGUUUUUUCUUAGCUUGACCGUUUCCCUUCCAUCUCAAAACGAUUUUUCUACUGUAAAGUGCCAUACUCACAGAGUUCCUUACGGAAACAAGGUAACUAACCAUAGAGUCCAAGAUACUGAUGAACAUCACAAAAUGUACAUCACAAAAUGAUCGAGGACAUAUUGUGAUCCUGCAGAGUAUCAGAAAAUCUGUUUCAGAUUUUGCAGCAAUUUUCCAGAUCUGCUAUUUGAAGCCAAUGGGACUGCUUAGUGAACAGCAGCUCUACUCAUUGCAAUUGGAAAUGAAUGCCUCAAAGUAAGAAAUCUUCUUCCCCAUUCACAGGCAUAACCAGUCAUAAGUGAAUCUUUUACACCAAAUCAGUACAGCUCCUGCUUCCUCAUUUUUACUCUUCUUAACCUUCCAUUCUGAAGCAAAAUUGUUAGAGGAACAAUAGAUCCAAAGUCAAAUACCACAAGAACAUUUUCUAAUAAAUUUGAUGUUUUGGCAGUGGGAUGUGAGUAGAGCCAGGCCACUGCCAAAGCACAGAAGGCUAUGAACAGAUCUGAGCUAUCUUUCACAUUUUCCUGAAGCAUACAGAAACUAAGUUGUACAAUUCUGUGGCCAUUUCAAAAGCAAUUUAAAUCAUAGCUCUCAGGCAAUAGCAUUCAGAUUGUUUGGGGCAUGUUCCAUUCAUGCUGGAUAGCCCAUUAAACCAUGCUAAGUCUUACAGCACAGCAUCCGUGGAAGUUGCUGUUCCUUGAUCAGCCAGUUUCCCACUACACGAUACCCUUACAGAACACCUAAGAUGACUUUACUGUCUUUGUAUUGCCAUCAGCAGCUUUCUUUCUCUUGAAUGCAGACGAUGGUGUUCAGUAACAACAGCUCAAGUGAAGUGCUCACUUCUGCAUUGGUCACUUUUGUGUGUAUCCUACAGAGCUUUGGAUAGAGUUACAACCUUUUACUGUUAACAGGCAAGAGGAAAAACAACUUUGCUUGCAUUAAAAUAUGAGUUCCCUUCAGAAACUUCUAUCUACACCUUCACAACCUGCUUUUUUUUUUUUUUUUGCAAUGCCACCAGCAUACCUUAGUACUACAUAAAUUAUCAAGUUUAGUUACUGAUACAGUCAACUCUAUGGAAACAUAAUGGCAUAACCUUCAUCCUACCAUGUUUGCAGUAAGGGCUGGAUGUGCCUCCAGACUCCCAACAGUUUGUGUCACUCUUAGCGAUUUUAUUUUGAUGAGUGAUACACUCCGAUUGCCCUAUGCAUUAACUGUUCCAGAAACAUUUGACACUUGGCCAGGCUCCCUAAUCUUUAUUUACUUUGCUGGGAGAUUACCUUCUUUCUCAUUAUCCAUCCCUAUACCACAAACAUCUGCUUCUCUUAAGUAGACAAGACUAAUAUUAAUUCUGUUAAAGAAGAACAUUUCUGCUAAAUUUCUUUCUAAUAAUCUGCUAUUUUCUGGUGGAGGAACUUGGACUGGCUGUAGGAAUGUGCCCUAUUAAACUAUUUGUCACUCCUUGUAAAAAGACAUUAAAAAUAAUUAAACAACA